This 256-nucleotide ribosomal RNA is filed under the name uncultured bacterium. RNAcentral's name for it is "partial 16S ribosomal RNA". It matches the Rfam family "Bacterial small subunit ribosomal RNA", at positions 524 to 776 of the family's 1533-position model. The record is from RNAcentral.
UACGUAGGGUGCGAGCGUUGUCCGGAAUUAUUGGGCGUAAAGAGCUCGUAGGCGGUCUGUCGCGUCGAAUGUGAAAAACCCCGGGGGCUCAACUCCGGGCUUGCAUUCGAUACGGGCAGGCUAGAGUUCGGUAGGGGAGUCUGGAAUUCCUGGUGUAGCGGUGAAAUGCGCAGAUAUCAGGAGGAACACCGGUGGCGAAGGCGGGACUCUGGGCCGAUACUGACGCUGAGGAGCGAAAGCGUGGGGAGCGAACAGG